AUGGCGUCGGCGUCGCCGUCGCGGCUGCUGCCGCCCUUUCCCCCUCCAGCUGCCCCAACAUCCCGCCACACAACUCUCCGCGCCGUCCCUCGCAGCUGCAGCCUCGCCAUCCCGAGCCUCCGGUGCCGCGCCUCCGCUCCAGCGGCCGUUGACGCUGGCGCGCCGCUGCUGCUAGAGGACCGCGCCGGCGCGGUGUCCAUCCGAGAGUUUGUCACGCUCGAUGAGCUCCACGCCGCCGUGCGCCUCCGCGUUCGCACCUUCUACGAGUACGCCCGCGACACUGUCGGCGCCGAGUUUGUUGAAGAUGGGGAAGAGAGAAUAGUAGUUGGUAGUUUAGACCUGAAUCAGUGCCUCUGGCUACCAGAUGAACUGACUGGAAAGAGGCCAGGGGUAACUGAAUCAAGCCAUACACGGGCAUAUCUGAGCAAUGUAUGUGUUGCCAAGGAGCUCCAAAGAUGCGGACUGGGCUAUGCAUUGGUUGACAAGUCUAAGAAGCUUGCUCGCAUAACGGAUUUGUAUGUCCAUGUUGCCAUCAACAACGAGGCGGCACAAAAGCUGUACAUCAAGAGUGGAUUUGUGUACGAAAGCGAGGAGCCUGCCCAGCAAGCUAGGCAUCUUGGGCGCCCCCGAAGGCUUCUUCUUUGGCUUGAUAUGAAGAACGAAACCUUGUGA
RNAcentral lists this ribosomal RNA (672 nucleotides) under Triticum aestivum (bread wheat). Its description in RNAcentral is "partial small subunit ribosomal RNA". Lineage: Eukaryota; Viridiplantae; Streptophyta; Magnoliopsida; Poales; Poaceae. The record is from RNAcentral.